Molecule: ribosomal RNA, 472 nt
Filed under: uncultured bacterium
Lineage: Bacteria
Description: partial 16S ribosomal RNA
Rfam family: Bacterial small subunit ribosomal RNA
Source: RNAcentral
GACGAACGCUGGCGGCGUGCUUAACACAUGCAAGUCGAACGCUGAAGCUUGGUGCUUGCACUGGGUGGAUGAGUGGCGAACGGGUGAGUAAUACGUGAGUAACCUGCCCUUGACUCUGGGAUAAGCCUGGGAAACUGGGUCUAAUACUGGAUAUGACAUGCCACUGCAUGGUGGUGUGUGGAAAGGGUUUUACUGGUUUUGGAUGGGCUCACGGCCGAUCAGCUUGUUGGUGGGGUAAUGGCCUACCAAGGCGACGACGGGUAGCCGGCCUGGGAGGGUGACCGGCCACACUGGGACUGAGACACGGCCCAGACUCCUACGGGAGGCAGCAGUGGGGAAUAUUGCACAAUGGGCGGAAGCCUGAUGCAGCGACGCCGCGUGAGGGAUGACGGCCUUCGGGUUGUAAACCUCUUUCAGCACGGAAGAAGCGAGAGUGACGGUACGUGCAGAAGAAGCGCCGGCUAACUACGUG